RNAcentral lists this ribosomal RNA (489 nucleotides) under uncultured bacterium. RNAcentral describes it as "bacterial SSU rRNA". It matches the Rfam family "Bacterial small subunit ribosomal RNA", at positions 29 to 512 of the family's 1533-position model. The record is from RNAcentral.
AACGAACGCUGGCGGCGCGCCUAAUACAUGCAAGUCGAGCGAGAAGGUGUAGCAAUACACUUGUAAAGCGGCGAACGGGUGAGGAAUACAUGGGUAAUCUACCAUCGAGUGGGGAAUAACCAACCGAAAGGUUGGCUAAUACCGCGUACGCCUCCGAGUCUUCGGGUUCGGAGGGAAAGCUGCACUGUGAGUGUAGCGCUCUUUGAUGAGCUCAUGUCCUAUCAGCUUGUUGGUAGGGUAACGGCCUACCAAGGCUUCGACGGGUAGCUGGUCUGAGAGGACGAUCAGCCACACUGGCACUGCGACACGGGCCAGACUCCUACGGGAGGCAGCAGUAAGGAAUAUUGCGCAAUGGGCGAAAGCCUGACGCAGCGACGCCGCGUGGGGAUGAAGGUCUUCGGAUUGUAAACCCCUUUCGGGAGGGAAGAUGGAGCGAGCAAUCGUUCGGACGGUACCUCCAGAAGCAGCCACGGCCAACUUCGUGCCAGC